UAGUCCACGCCGUAAACGAUGUCUACUAGCCGUUGGGAGACUUGAUUUCUUAGUGGCGCAGCUAACGCACUAAGUAGACCGCCUGGGGAGUACGGCCGCAAGGUUAAAACUCAAAUGAAUUGACGGGGGCCCGCACAAGCGGUGGAGCAUGUGGUUUAAUUCGAUGCAACGCGAAGAACCUUACCAGGCCUUGACAUCCUGAGAAUUUGGUAGAGAUACCUUAGUGCCUUCGGGAACUCAGUGACAGGUGCUGCAUGGCUGUCGUCAGCUCGUGUCGUGAGAUGUUGGGUUAAGUCCCGUAACGAGCGCAACCCUUAUUCUUAGUUGCUAUCAGGUGAUGCUGAGGACUCUAAGGNGACUGCCGGUGACAAACCGGAGGAAGGCGGGGACGACGUCAAGUCCUCAUGGCCCUUACGGGGUUGGGGCUACACACGUGCUACAAUGGGCAGUGACAAU
RNAcentral lists this ribosomal RNA (456 nucleotides) under uncultured bacterium. RNAcentral describes it as "bacterial SSU rRNA". It matches the Rfam family "Bacterial small subunit ribosomal RNA", at positions 791 to 1243 of the family's 1533-position model. The record is from RNAcentral.